RNAcentral lists this long non-coding RNA (333 nucleotides) under Oryza sativa Indica Group (long-grained rice). Its description in RNAcentral is "lncRNA OsMH63_08G018670". The record is from RNAcentral. Lineage: Eukaryota; Viridiplantae; Streptophyta; Magnoliopsida; Poales; Poaceae.
CCCCAGAUCGGAGUGCAUCGAAGACAGGAAGCUGCAACAGUUGACACUGCAGUCUCCAACUCCAAGAACUCGAUCCGUACCUGCAUCAUACGCUACUCCGUGUGGGGGAGGAAAAAGGAAAUGAAAAAGAAAGGCGACGGCAACGCUCGUCGAGAACGAGGCCCAAGUGCCCAACAUCCGCUCAGAAAAUUCCUAGCACGCACUCGCACGCGGCGAGGCAACGAGGGAGAGCAACCCUACUUCAUGUCGCCUCGAUCUAUAGCUCGAUCCAGUAUGAAGCAGGACGCGCAGUGGCGACAGGGAGACUUUGGGUUGGUGUCGGUUGUGAGGUAG